CAGAUAUGUCUCAUUUGCGUCGCACAUGCUUUACAUGUGUUGCAAAAGCCAAAUGUGCGUCGGAUACCCUGACUCAUGCGACGCAAAUUGUCUCUACACUAAAAAAAAAUUCAAACUAUGUGCGUCGCACGUCUUUUAGAUGCGUUGCAAAAUACCCAAUUUGCAACGCACCUAUUCAAUAUGCGACGCAUAUUAGGCCGCUAUACCCAUUUUAGUUCAUGAGGCCCAGCUCACUAUACACUUUUUAUUUCAGCGCCUCUCAGAAACCCUAGUUACAUGCCUCUCAAUUCUCACGCCUCUCCUUCCCCCUCCCCCCCCCCUCUCUCUCUCUCUCUCUCUACACCAACAACGACAUCUGAACACCGCCAACUCCCUAGUCACAUCCAGCUCAACGGCGUAGUGAAUCUCCGUCGAACACCGCCAACUCCCUCUCUCUCUCUCUUCGUUGUUUCCUGAGGAAUCUCCGUCGAACACCGCCGCUUCAAACACCAACAACGAUGCGUCUUUCUCCUCACCCUCAAACUAUCUCUCCUUACCCUCAAACUCUCUCUCUCCGGCGACUUCUGAACAACGAUGAACUCAAUCGACAACGACGAACUCUGAACAACGACGAACUCGAUCGACGAACUCUCUCUCUCCGGCGAACAGGAAAUUGAAGUUGAAGUUACGAACAGGAAAUUGACAAGAAAUUGAAGUUGAAGUUACGAACAGGAAAUUGAAGUUACUUUCUUUUUUAGAUCUCUGAUUUUUAUAUUAUUUUGUGUUCGAGUUGUAAAUUAUAGAAUCUUGGUGGUUUAAUGUUUUGUGUUGGAGUUGUAAAUUAUAAAAUUAUUGAAUUUUGUUGGUAUA
Long non-coding RNA from Beta vulgaris subsp. vulgaris (sugar beet), 849 nucleotides. RefSeq lists it as uncharacterized. The transcript has 2 exons. The record is from RefSeq and is a predicted model, not a curated record. Lineage: Eukaryota; Viridiplantae; Streptophyta; Magnoliopsida; Caryophyllales; Amaranthaceae.